RNAcentral lists this non-coding RNA (859 nucleotides) under Potomida littoralis. The record is from RNAcentral. Lineage: Eukaryota; Metazoa; Mollusca; Bivalvia; Unionida; Unionidae.
AAAGCACUUCGCUCUGAUGCAAGAUUAGCUAUUACUGUCAAACUUCAUAUGGUAAUCCAAGUGGUUUGCGAAUUGUUACCUUGUGUGAAGCACGUUAAACACCAAACCACACACAUCAUAACACUAGGAUAGCUAGAACCUAAAGGCAAUUGCCCGCAACACCAAUGAACUAUAUUGUGCUCAAGUUAGGAAACUAAGCCACAAGAAUAGUAAAUCAAUAGUGACCAAGGGGGUGCCAGCAGUCGCGGUUAGACCCCAACUCGAAACUAAUCUACACCAAUACGGGGCACAUGUCUAAUUUGACUUAUAAUCCUAGAACCACAAAGGUGAAAUUUAAACAAGAUAGAUAUACCCAAAUAAGUCAUCUAACAAAUGUACCCCAACAAACCACACCGACAAGACACGGAUUAGAUACCCGUUUAUUGCGUGGCUCAACAUUUUAAACUCUAAAAACGAAAGUUCCAAACUUAAAAAGCGUGGCGGUAUUCUACACCUUAUUAGGGGAUCCUGUGACUUAAUUCGAUAGUCCACGAACACCAAAGCUCUGUUAGCUCCACAGCUUAUGUAUGGCCGUUUCAAGUCUGCACACUAACAAAACAAAAGGAGACACCUAAGGUAAAACACCUUAACAACACAGGUAACAUAUAGCCAAUACAAAGCAGUCCAUGGGAUACAAAUGACCACAACCAUCCAAAAAAGAAUGAAACUUCUUCUAUAAGGAGGACUUAAAAGUAAGGCUAUAACAUAAAUUCAGCCUGAACAAGAAAUAGAAUGCGUACAAAUCGCCCGUCACUCCCGAUAAUUAAAUCGGGAUAAGUCGUAACAUAGUAGGAGUAACGGAAGUUGCCCCUAUACCAAU